RNAcentral lists this ribosomal RNA (253 nucleotides) under uncultured bacterium. Its description in RNAcentral is "partial 16S ribosomal RNA". It matches the Rfam family "Bacterial small subunit ribosomal RNA", at positions 524 to 776 of the family's 1533-position model. The record is from RNAcentral.
UACGUAGGGGGCUAGCGUUGUCCGGAAUCAUUGGGCGUAAAGAGCGUGUAGGCGGCCCGGUAAGUCCGCUGUAAAAGUCAAAGGCUCAACCUUUGAAUGUCAGUGGAUACUGCCGGGCUAGAGUCCGGAAGAGGCGAGUGGAACUCCUGGUGUAGCGGUGGAAUGCGCAGAUAUCAGGAAGAACACCAACGGCGAAGGCAGCUCGCUAGGACGUGACUGACGCUGAGACGCGAAAGCGUGGGGAGCAAACAGG